GGAAGGAGGGCUGUGUUUUCUGUACGCCACAAAAAAGUUGCACGGAUUCGAUCGUUACGUCUAUAAAUCCAGACCGUGUGGCCUCAUCAGAGAGGAACACAUUGAGCAUUGUUGGGAAAAGGCUAAAUGUUGGAUCGAGAGCUUCACUGCAGAUCCAUGGGAUUGCUGACCACAGUGCAGACAUAUCAAACGAUUGCACGAUUGAGAACAGCACUUUGGUGAAAUGUGUAUUACCAAAGGCAAUCCAUGGCAAGAAAACUGUGUGCUUGUUAUAUGAUUCUGAAGAGGACUGUGCGGCUAACAGAACUGCUUUCCUGGAGUAUGUCACCAACAUCCGUGUGACUGAGAUUCA
Long non-coding RNA from Amblyraja radiata (thorny skate), 352 nucleotides. RefSeq lists it as uncharacterized. The transcript is spliced from 3 exons. Lineage: Eukaryota; Metazoa; Chordata; Chondrichthyes; Rajiformes; Rajidae. The record is from RefSeq and is a predicted model, not a curated record.